CCUACGGGAGGCAGCAGUGAGGAAUAUUGGUCAAUGGCCGGAAGGCUGAACCAGCCAAGCCGCGUGAAGGACGACGGUGCCAAGCAUUGUAAACUUCUUUUGUCAAGGGAUAAAAUCAGGCUCGAGAGCCUGAUCGUGGGUACUUGAAGAAAAAGCAUCGGCUAACUCCGUGCCAGCAGCCGCGGUAAUACGGAGGAUGCGAGCUUUAUCCGGAUUUAUUGGGUUUAAAGGGAGCGUAGGCGGGAUGUUAAGUCAGCGGGUAAAUGCCCGGGCUCAACCCCGGCCGAGCGGGGGAAACUGGCUGUCUUGAGAUGGCGAAAGGUAUGCGGAAUGCGCGGUGUAGCGGUGAAAUGCUUAGAUAUUGCGAAGAACUCCGAUUGCGAAGGCAGCAUACCGGAGGCGAUCUGACGCUGAGGCACGAAGGCGUGGGUAUCGAACAGGAUUAGAUACCCGAGUAGUC
This 460-nucleotide ribosomal RNA is filed under the name uncultured bacterium. Its description in RNAcentral is "partial 16S ribosomal RNA". It matches the Rfam family "Bacterial small subunit ribosomal RNA", at positions 338 to 795 of the family's 1533-position model. The record is from RNAcentral.